GAUGAACGCUGGCGGCGUGCCUAAUACAUGCAAGUCGAGCGAACAGACGAGGAGCUUGCUCCUCUGACGUUAGCGGCGGACGGGUGAGUAACACGUGGAUAACCUACCUUUAAGACUGGGAUAACUUCGGGAAACCGGAGCUAAUACCGCAUAAUAUCUUUAACCGCAUGGUUCAAUAGUGAAAGACGGUUUUGCUUUCACCUAUAGAUGGCUCCCCGCCGCUUUAGUUAGUUGGUAAGGUAACGGCCUCCCAAGGCAAGGAUGCUUAGCCGACCUGGGAGGGUGAUCGGCCACAUGGGACCUGAGACACGGUCCAGACUCCUACGGGAGGAAGAAGUAGGGAAUCUUCGGCAAUGGGCGAAAGCCUGACGGGGAAACGCCGCGUGAGUGAUGAAGGUCUUCGGAUCGUAAAACUCUGUUAUUAGGGAAGAACAAAUGUGUAAGUAACUAUGCACGUAUUGACGGUACCUAAUCAGAAAGCCACGGCUAACUACGUG
This 497-nucleotide ribosomal RNA is filed under the name uncultured bacterium. RNAcentral's name for it is "partial 16S ribosomal RNA". It matches the Rfam family "Bacterial small subunit ribosomal RNA", at positions 28 to 507 of the family's 1533-position model. The record is from RNAcentral.